Molecule: ribosomal RNA, 406 nt
Filed under: uncultured bacterium
Lineage: Bacteria
Description: partial 16S ribosomal RNA
Rfam family: Bacterial small subunit ribosomal RNA
Source: RNAcentral
AUUGAACGCUGGCGGCAGGCCUAACACAUGCAAGUCGAACGAGUGGCGGACGGGUGAGUAAUGUCUGGGAAACUGCCUGCUGGAGGGGGAUAACUACUGGAAACGGUAGCUAAUCCCGCAUAGCAUCAGAUGUGCCCAGAUGGGCUUAGCUAGUUGGUGGGGUAACGGCUCACAAAGGCGACGAUCGCUAGCUGGUCUGAGAGGAUGACUAGCCACAAUGGAAAUGAGACACGGUCGAGAAUGCUAAGGGAGGUAGCAGUGGGGAAAAUUGCACAAUGGGCGCAAGCCUGAUGAAGCCAUGCCUCGUGUAUGAAGAAGGCCUUGGGGUUGUAAAGUACUUGCAGCGGGGAGGCGUUACCCGCAGAAGAAGCACCGGCUAACUCCGUGCCAGCAGCCGCGGUAAUUC